CGACCGGCGCACGGGUGAGUAACACGUAUCCAACCUGCCGCUUACUCGGGGAUAGCCUUUCGAAAGAAAGAUUAAUACCCGAUGGUAUAAAGAGUUCGCAUGUUCUCUUUAUUAAAGAAUUUCGGUAAGCGAUGGGGAUGCGUUCCAUUAGAUAGUUGGCGGGGUAACGGCCUACCAAGUCUACGAUGGAUAGGGGUUCUGAGAGGAAGGUCCCCCACAUUGGAACUGAGACACGGUCCAAACUCCUACGGGAGGCAGCAGUGAGGAAUAUUGGUCAAUGGACGAGAGUCUGAACCAGCCAAAGUAGCGUGAAGGAUGACUGCCCUAUGGGUUGUAAACUUCUUUUAUAAGGGAAUAAAGUGAGGGACGUGUCCCUUUUUGUAUGUACCUUAUGAAUAAGGAUCGGCUAACUCCGUGCCAGCCGCGGC
RNAcentral lists this ribosomal RNA (428 nucleotides) under uncultured bacterium. RNAcentral's name for it is "bacterial SSU rRNA". It matches the Rfam family "Bacterial small subunit ribosomal RNA", at positions 92 to 518 of the family's 1533-position model. The record is from RNAcentral.